RNAcentral lists this ribosomal RNA (447 nucleotides) under uncultured bacterium. Its description in RNAcentral is "bacterial SSU rRNA". It matches the Rfam family "Bacterial small subunit ribosomal RNA", at positions 331 to 793 of the family's 1533-position model. The record is from RNAcentral.
CCAGACUCCUACGGGAGGCAGCAGUGGGGAAUAUUGGGCAAUGGGCGCAAGCCUGACCCAGCAACGCCGCGUGAAGGAAGAAGGCUUUCGGGUUGUAAACUUCUUUUGACAGGGAAGAGCAGAAGACGGUACCUGUCGAAUAAGCCACGGCUAACUACGUGCCAGCAGCCGCGGUAAUACGUAGGUGGCAAGCGUUGUCCGGAUUUACUGGGUGUAAAGGGCGUGUAGCCGGGAAGGCAAGUCAGAUGUGAAAUCCGGGGGCUCAACCUCCGAAUUGCAUUUGAAACUGUUUUUCUUGAGUACUGGAGAGUCAGACGGAAGUCCUUGGGUAGCGGUGAAAGGCGUAGAUAUAAGGAGGAACUCCAGUGGCGAAGGCGGUCUGCUGGACAGCAACUGACGUUGAGGCGCGAACGCGUGGGGAUCACACAGGAUUAGAUACCCCCUUAA